GACGAACGCUGGCGGCGUGCCUAAUACAUGCAAGUAGAACGCUGAAGGAGGAGCUUGCUUCUCUGGAUGAGUUGCGAACGGGUGAGUAACGCGUAGGUAACCUGCCUGGUAGCGGGGGAUAACUAUUGGAAACGAUAGCUAAUACCGCAUAAUAGCAGUUGUUGCAUGACAACUGUUUGAAAGGUGCAAUUGCACCACUACCAGAUGGACCUGCGUUGUAUUAGCUAGUUGGUGGGGUAACGGCUCACCAAGGCGACGAUACAUAGCCGACCUGAGAGGGUGAUCGGCCACACUGGGACUGAGACACGGCCCAGACUCCUACGGGAGGCAGCAGUAGAGAAUCUUCGGCAAUGGACGGAAGUCUGACCGAGCAACGCCGCGUGAGUGAAGAAGGUUUUCGGAUCGUAAAGCUCUGUUGUAAGAGAAGAACGAGUGUGAGAGUGGAAAGUUCACACUGUGACGGUAUCUUACCAGAAAGGGACGGCUAACUACGUG
RNAcentral lists this ribosomal RNA (495 nucleotides) under uncultured bacterium. RNAcentral describes it as "partial 16S ribosomal RNA". It matches the Rfam family "Bacterial small subunit ribosomal RNA", at positions 28 to 507 of the family's 1533-position model. The record is from RNAcentral.